Amblyraja radiata (thorny skate) is the source of this 1448-nucleotide long non-coding RNA. RefSeq lists it as uncharacterized. The record is from RefSeq and is a predicted model, not a curated record. NCBI's taxonomy places the organism in Eukaryota, Metazoa, Chordata, Chondrichthyes, Rajiformes, Rajidae. The transcript has 2 exons.
GGGGUCACCGGGCGGGCGGGGAGGCGGCGGCGGCGGAGCCCAGUCUGGUGAGCGGCAGCCGCAGAGCCACUCGUCCGUCCCAGCGGACAGCUGCUGAAGGCAGCCCGCUACACCACACACGGCUCGGACAAAAGGAAGCACAUUCAAGAAGGACGUUACAAGAGAAGAACCAAGACAAUCAACACAGUUGAGAGUUAUUUGCACUGUACUUUGCAAUUCUUGAUUAUCACUUUACAACAUUAAAAAAUGAGGCAGCUGAAAGGAAAACCAAAAAAGGAGACUUCGAAAGACAAAAAAGAACGGCGGCAAGCCAUGCAAGAAGCUCGAAGUCAAAUCACCACCAUCGUGUUUCCCACAUUAGCUGUGAUUGUGCUGUUGAUUGUUCUGUUUGUUUACGUGGCCACACGACCAACCACUGCAUGAGAGAAAAAUUACAGAGCAUUUUAUGAAGAAUUUUCAUCUUGGCUACAAUGGAUUUAAAAUGGAUUUAAAACUCCAGCUAGAAACAUUUAUGUCCAAUUGCAGUUCCAUUCUUCUUGGUCUUGACACGUGUUUAAAGAGUAUUGUUGCCCAAUCGUACAGUAUAUAUAAUAUAUAUGCUAAUUUCUCUCGUGUGCCUUUGAAAUUUUCACUGAAGAGUAUUUUUGCCCCUUUAAAUUAUCUGGAAACAAUUCCAGCAUCUUGUGCAGAAGUUGAGAGCAAACCUUAAUUCAAAAGAUAUGUCAGAGGCCAAUUUGUUGCAUUGUCUAUACUGUAAUAGUGUUUUAAACAAAAUUCUACUAUGAAUUUCACCACUCUUGCCAAAGGACAAUCCAUUCUUGUAUUGGAAACGUAUCACUUAAAAUGCAAUGAAUAUAAAUUGUAAAUGUUUAUUUUUAGAAUAAAAUCAAUGUUCAGAAUUUUUUCAAAUGUAUAUUUUGCAGUGUCAAGGAACAUGGAGAAGUCUCUUUUACCAGUAGUUUUAAUGUAUGCCAAGAACAUUUUAGACUUGCUGUGGGCAGCCAGAUGAUACCAAUUGCUGAAGGCAACCGCUUGGCCGACCCUCUCCCUGAAUGAAUCUACCUCCGUCAGUGCUCAGAUGCAAUAGUGUAUGGUGAUUUUGCCCUGAUAGUGUUUUUUGCAGGGAGAAUGAGAUUAUUGGAUCCUGGGAGUUGGAAGGGGAUAAUUUCACCAACUUGACCACUUGAAGUUGGACCUGUAUUACACACAUUUAUGGUCAAAGAAAAGUUCUGCCUUUACAGGAUUCUGUGAAUGUCUUGGAAUUGGAUAGCAAGGACAGUGUUAAUUGUGGCAGCAUAUUUAUAUUCUACUGCACGAGUCCAUACAAUGCUCCAAAUCUGUUCUUGAUAUAUUGGUUUAUGUAGAUUUACUAUGUUAAAAAAGACUUAUUCUAUACCAUUUGCAAUAAAACAAAAACAUCUCAGCAAUCUGAGAUGAAUCUACAGAGA